AGGAUAUUUAUGAUUAAUGGUUUGAGAGAGGAGUGUUGUUUGAAGGUUUGUUCAAGAAAUGCGGACUGUUGUCUGGUAAGUCUCGGAUUUUUCCUGCCCAAACCGCUACCAUUAAUCUCAUCUUCAUCACUGC
Molecule: long non-coding RNA, 133 nt
Organism: Ipomoea nil (Japanese morning glory)
Lineage: Eukaryota; Viridiplantae; Streptophyta; Magnoliopsida; Solanales; Convolvulaceae
Exons: 3
Source: RefSeq, a predicted model, not a curated record